Molecule: ribosomal RNA, 497 nt
Filed under: uncultured bacterium
Lineage: Bacteria
Description: partial 16S ribosomal RNA
Rfam family: Bacterial small subunit ribosomal RNA
Source: RNAcentral
GAUGAACGCUGGCGGCGUGCCUAAUACAUGCAAGUCGAGCGAACGGACGAGAAGCUUGCUUCUCUGAUGUUAGCGGCGGACGGGUGAGUAACACGUGGAUAACCUACCUAUAAGACUGGGAUAACUUCGGGAAACCGGAGCUAAUACCGGAUGAUAUUUUGAACCGCAUGGUUCAAAAGUGAAAGACGGUCUUGCUGUCACUUAUAGAUGGAUCCGCGCUGCAUUAGCUAGUUGGUAAGGUAACGGCUUACCAAGGCAACGAUGCAUAGCCGACCUGAGAGGGUGACCGGCCACACUGGAACUGAGACACGGUCCAGACCCCUAGGGGAGGAAGCAGUGGGGAAUCUUCCACAAUGGGCGAAAGCCGGAGGGAGCAACGCCGCGUGUAUGAAGAAGGUCUUCGGUUCGUAAAGCUCUUUUAUGGGGGAAGAAGAGAUUUAAAAUAAUCCGUGCACUUAUUGACGUUACCUAAAGAGAAAGCCCCGGCUAACUCCGUG